CCUACGGGAGGCAGCAGUGAGGAAUCUUGGUCAAUGGACGAGAGUCUGACCCAGCCAAGUAGCGUGAAGGAUGACUGCCCUAUGGGUUGUAAACUUCUUUUAUAAAGGAAUAAAACGACGCACGUGUGCCUUUUUGCAUUUACUUUAUGAAUAAGGAUCGGCUAAAUCCGUGCCAGCAGCCGCGGUAAUACGGAGGAUCCGAGCGUUGUCCGGAUUUAUUGGGUUUAAAGGGAGCGUAGAUGGGUUGUUAAGUCAGUUGUGAAAGUUUGCGGCUCAACCGUAAAAUUGCAAUUGAUACUGGCAGUCUUGAGUACAGUUGAGGUAGGCGGAAUUCGUGGUGUAGCGGUGAAAUGCUUAGAUAUCACGAAGAACCCCGAUUGCGAAGGCAGCUUACUAAACUGUGACUGACAUUGAUGCUCGAAAGUGUGGGUAUCAAACAGGAUUAGAUACCCUUGUAGUC
This 460-nucleotide ribosomal RNA is filed under the name uncultured bacterium. RNAcentral describes it as "partial 16S ribosomal RNA". It matches the Rfam family "Bacterial small subunit ribosomal RNA", at positions 338 to 795 of the family's 1533-position model. The record is from RNAcentral.